This 463-nucleotide long non-coding RNA is filed under the name Mus musculus (house mouse). RNAcentral's name for it is "long non-coding RNA chr14:51838998-51839461". Lineage: Eukaryota; Metazoa; Chordata; Mammalia; Rodentia; Muridae. The record is from RNAcentral.
GCUGGGUCUGGAAGUGCCAUCCUGGAACCCUACAACUUCCAGCCUGAGGCAGAAGGAUAGAAAAUUAGAAUCCAAUCCGAGACCAGCCCCUUCCCAGAAGUUUUACACCGAGCCUAUCCAUAAUAGCACCUACCCCCGAUGUGACGAUCCAAUGCUGGUUGUUAACAGGUAUAGACCAAGAUGUAAGGAUAUAGAUACGUUUCUUCACACAAGUUUUGCCAAUGUUGGUGUGUGUGGCCAUCCAAGUGGCUUCUGCAAAGAGCAUAAAAGUGCAAACUGUCAUAACAGUUCAUCUCAGGUACCUAUAAUUGUCUGUAACCUCACAACUCCAGGAAGAACUUAUACCCAAUGCAGAUACCAAAUGAAAGGAUCAGUGGAGUACUACACAGUUGCCUGUAAGCCCAGAACUCCAUGGGACAGUCCCAUCUAUCCAGUGGUUCCGGUUCACUUGCAUGGGACAUUU